CCUACGGGUGGCAGCAGUGAGGAAUAUUGGUCAAUGGACGAGAGUCUGAACCAGCCAAGUUGCGUGAAGGAUGACUGCCCUAUGGUUUGUAAACUUCUUUUAUAUGGGAAUAAAACAGGGUAUGCGUACCUUCUUGUAUGUACCAUAUGAAUAAGGAUCGGCUAACUCCGUGCCAGCAGCCGCGGUAAUACGGAGGAUGCGAGCGUUAUCCGGAUUUAUUGGGUUUAAAGGGUGCGUAGGUGGAUUGUUAAGUCAGUUGGGAAAGUUUGCGGCUCAACCGUAAAAUUGCCGUUGAAACUGGCAGUCUUGAGUACAGUAGAGGUGGGCGGAAUGCGUGGUGUAGCGGUGAAAUGCAUAGAUAUCACGAAGAACUCCGAUUGCGAAGGCAGCUCACUAAACUGCAACUGACACUGAUGCUCGAAAGCGUGGGUAUCAAACAGGAUUAGAUACCCUUGUAGUC
Molecule: ribosomal RNA, 460 nt
Filed under: uncultured bacterium
Lineage: Bacteria
Description: partial 16S ribosomal RNA
Rfam family: Bacterial small subunit ribosomal RNA
Source: RNAcentral